UACGAAGGGGGCUAGCGUUGCUCGGAAUCACUGGGCGUAAAGGGUGCGUAGGCGGGUCUUUAAGUCAGGGGUGAAAUCCUGGAGCUCAACUCCAGAACUGCCUUUGAUACUGAAGAUCUUGAGUUCGGGAGAGGUGAGUGGAACUGCGAGUGUAGAGGUGAAAUUCGUAGAUAUCGGGAGGAACACCAGUGGCGAAGGCGGCGACCUGGGCCAAUAUUGACGCUGAGGUGCGAAAGCGUGGGGAGCAAACAGG
This 253-nucleotide ribosomal RNA is filed under the name uncultured bacterium. RNAcentral describes it as "partial 16S ribosomal RNA". It matches the Rfam family "Bacterial small subunit ribosomal RNA", at positions 524 to 776 of the family's 1533-position model. The record is from RNAcentral.